RNAcentral lists this ribosomal RNA (497 nucleotides) under uncultured bacterium. Its description in RNAcentral is "partial 16S ribosomal RNA". It matches the Rfam family "Bacterial small subunit ribosomal RNA", at positions 28 to 507 of the family's 1533-position model. The record is from RNAcentral.
GAUGAACGCUGGCGGCGUGCCUAAUACAUGCCAGUCGAGCGAACAGACGAGGAGCUUGCUCCUCUGACGUUAGCGGCGGACGGGUGAGUAACACGUGGAUAACCUACCUAUAAGACUGGGAUAACUUCGGGAAACCGGAGCUAAUACCGGAUAAUAUAUUGAACCGCAUGGUUCAAUAGUGAAAGACGGUUUUGCUGUCACUUAUAGAUGGAUCCGCGCCGCAUUAGCUAGUUGGUAAGGUAACGGCUUACCAAGGCGACGAUGCGUAGCUGACCUGAGAGGGUGAUCGGCCACACUGGAACUGAGACACGGUCCAGACUCCUACGGGAGGCAGCAGUAGGGAAUCUUCCGCAAUGGGCGAAAGCCUGACGGAGCAACGCCGCGUGAGUGAUGAAGGUCUUCGGAUCGUAAAACUCUGUUAUUAGGGAAGAACAAAUGUGUAAGUAACUAUGCACGUCUUGACGGUACCUAAUCAGAAAGCCACGGCUAACUACGUG